Molecule: transfer RNA, 77 nt
Filed under: Candidatus Omnitrophota bacterium
Lineage: Bacteria; Pseudomonadati; Candidatus Omnitrophota
Description: Candidatus Omnitrophica bacterium (sediment metagenome) tRNA-Glu
Rfam family: tRNA
About the family: Transfer RNA (tRNA) molecules are approximately 80 nucleotides in length. Their secondary structure includes four short double-helical elements and three loops (D, anti-codon, and T loops). Further hydrogen bonds mediate the characteristic L-shaped molecular structure. tRNAs have two regions of fundamental functional importance: the anti-codon, which is responsible for specific mRNA codon recognition, and the 3' end, to which the tRNAs corresponding amino acid is attached (by aminoacyl-tRNA synthetases). tRNAs cope with the degeneracy of the genetic code in two manners: having more than one tRNA (with a specific anti-codon) for a particular amino acid; and 'wobble' base-pairing, i.e. permitting non-standard base-pairing at the 3rd anti-codon position.
Source: RNAcentral
GACCCUAUCGUCUAGCCUGGUCAGGACGCGAGCUUUUCAAGCUUGCAACACGGGUUCAAAUCCCGUUAGGGUCGCCA